This 401-nucleotide unclassified non-coding RNA is filed under the name soil metagenome. RNAcentral describes it as "partial contains 5.8S ribosomal RNA, internal transcribed spacer 2, and large subunit ribosomal RNA". The stretch from base 1 to 121 matches the Rfam family "5.8S ribosomal RNA", at positions 35 to 154 of the family's 154-position model. The record is from RNAcentral.
GAUGAAGAACGUAGCGAAAUGCGAUAAGUAAUGUGAAUUGCAGAAUUCAGUGAAUCAUCGAAUCUUUGAACGCACCUUGCGCCCCUUGGUUAUUCCAAAGGGCAUGCCUGUUUGAGUAUCAUGAACACCUCAACUCUUGUGGUUUCCCACAAUGAGCUUGGACUGUGGAGGUUUUGUUGGCCCUGUGGUCAGCUCCUCUCAAAUGGAUCAGCUUACCGGUGUUUGGUGGCAUUACGGGUGUGAUAACUAUCUACGCUCGUGGUCGUCUCCAAAUAACCUCCAGUGAUGGAGGUUCGCUGGAGCUUAUAAAUGUCUCUCCCCAGUGAAGACAGCCUUUGAACGUUCGAUCUCAAAUCAGGUAGGACUACCCGCUGAACUUAAGCAUACCAAUAAGCGGAGGA